This 460-nucleotide ribosomal RNA is filed under the name uncultured bacterium. RNAcentral describes it as "partial 16S ribosomal RNA". It matches the Rfam family "Bacterial small subunit ribosomal RNA", at positions 338 to 795 of the family's 1533-position model. The record is from RNAcentral.
CCUACGGGAGGCAGCAGUGAGGAAUAUUGGUCAAUGGACGAGAGUCUGAACCAGCCAAGUAGCGUGAAGGAUGACUGCCCUAUGGGUUGUAAACUUCUUUUAUAUGGGAAUAAAACGUUCCACGUGUGGGAUUUUGUAUGUACCAUAUGAAUAAGGAUCGGCUAACUCCGUGCCAGCAGCCGCGGUAAUACGGAGGAUCCGAGCGUUAUCCGGAUUUAUUGGGUUUAAAGGGAGCGUAGGUGGAUUGUUAAGUCAGUUGUGAAAGUUUGCGGCUCAACCGUGAAAUUGCAGUUGAAACUGGCAGUCUUGAGUACAGUAGAGGUGGGCGGAAUUCGUGGUGUAGCGGUGAAAUGCUUAGAUAUCACGAAGAACUCCGAUUGCGAAGGCAGUUCACUGGACUGCAACUGACACUGAGGCUCGAAAGUGUGGGUAUCAAACAGGAUUAGAUACCCUUGUAGUC